CAAAGCUCUGGACCGUCUGCCUGACCCUGGGCAAGUCUUUGAGUCCCUGGGUGCCUAGUUCCCCCAUAGCGUGAGUGACUGAACUAGAGGAACAUCUCUUCCACCCUUUCCUGGGCUAAGAACUGGGAUUCUGUGCCUGCAUCUUCUCCCUUCCUUCUGUGGGUUAUUCUGGUUGGCACCAGCCCUUUGCUGGCCACAUGCCAGAGCCGGGCACCUGUGGCCACCAAGGCUGCCCCUGCUGAGUCACACCAGAGGUCCGACAGCAGCGAGAUCGCUGCUCCUGUCCCAGCUCCCCCUCCUUCCUGCUCACUGGGAAAAGAAUCCCUACCAAGCCCUUACAUCCCAGAGAGCGGUUGCUUGGCUGUUGGCACAGACAUUUCUGGAACACUUUCUUGUGGCCAGGCACUGUUUGAGAGGCUGAUGACACGGCAGAGCCCAACCAGAGGCAGUUCCUACCUCCAUGGAGCUUGUGUUCUAAUGGAAGAGAAAGACUCCUCAUGGAACAUCUCCAGAAAAUCAAACUAGAAGACAUGGGUCCAGCUUCCUGGAGUGCUCUUGCGCUAUUUUACGAUGACCUUCUCUCAACAGAGGUAUGAACCACAGAGCUCUACUCCAGGAUCCAGUGGUCACUGCAUGGCUGGCUUCAGGAAAUCUUGUCCGACCCAGCAGUAAAGAACCCAAGAGCAGGUGGGCCUGUUGAGGGAGAGGCAGGCCUGCCACCUGCAGAUCCACGGGCUGGCUGCCCCUGGCAGUGUGCGCGGCAGGCUGGGUCAGCCUCAGGAGGCCCCCGAGCGGGGAGCGCCCAACUUUGUGCUGUGCAUGUUGCUGCAUAUUCAACAUAUGUCUAGUUUCAAUAACAGUAAUGAAAAUCAAUAAACUCAGGUCCCCUAAUCCCAAGCUCAGCAUUCUCUUCACCAG
Molecule: long non-coding RNA, 918 nt
Organism: Manis pentadactyla (Chinese pangolin)
Lineage: Eukaryota; Metazoa; Chordata; Mammalia; Pholidota; Manidae
Exons: 3
Source: RefSeq, a predicted model, not a curated record